This is a long non-coding RNA of Astatotilapia calliptera (eastern happy), 363 nucleotides long. Lineage: Eukaryota; Metazoa; Chordata; Actinopteri; Cichliformes; Cichlidae. The record is from Ensembl.
GCACCACUCUUCAUCGCAGCAUACUCUGCAGACCACUGUGGAUUACAAUGGGUGGUGUCGAGUUACCGCAGAUGCUGCUUUAUCUCAGCGGCGAAGCUGGAAAAACAAGAUGUAGACUUAAGGGCACUGCAGGGUUUUUCUGUCUUUCACUGUAUUCUUCUCUGUCACGAUGGGCAGCUAUAGUUCAGCCCUCAUUCCCGACACUGAGGAGUUUGUGUCAGUUGUGUCUAUCACGGAGAAGCUGAAUGCGCACGCAGCUCAUGCUGUAGAUGAGAGGUUACAGUCAGAGCUUCGGACUCUGGGAAGUAUACAUUUUUAAUGAAAGCCAUCUACAAGCCAAGCCAUUCCAUUUCUUAAUCGUCC